CCGAAUGGGGAAACCCACUGCUUCGGCAGUAUCCUGCAGUGAAUUCAUAGCUGCUGGAAGCGAACCCGGUGAACUGAAAUAUCUAAGUAACCGGAGGAAAAGAAAUCAACCGAGAUUCCCUAAGUAGUGACGAGCGAACGGGGAGCAGCCCUUAAGCUGGAAUGGCUUUAGAAAAACAAUCUGGAAAGAUUGGCCAUAGAAGGUGAUAGCCCUGUAUUUAAAAGGGCCACUCCAGUGAAGACGAGUAGGGCGGGGCACGUGAAACCCUGUCUGAAUAUGGGGGGACCAUCCUCCAAGGCUAAAUACUCCUGACCGACCGAUAGUGAACCAGUACCGUGAGGGAAAGGCGAAAAGAACCCCGGAGAGGGGAGUGAAAUAGAUCCUGAAACCGUGUGCGUACAAGCAGUAGGAGCUCGCAAGAGUGACUGCGUACCUUUUGUAUAAUGGGUCAGCGACUUACUGUUCGUGGCAAGCUUAACCGUAUAGGGGAGGCGAAGGGAAACCGAGUCUGAUAAGGGCGCAUAGUCGCGGGCAGUAGACCCGAAACCGGGUGAUCUAGUCAUGGCCAGGGUGAAGGUGCCGUAACAGGUACUGGAGGCCCGAACCCACGUCUGUUGCAAAAGACGGGGAUGAGCUGUGAUUAGGAGUGAAAAGCUAAUCGAACCCGGAGAUAGCUGGUUCUCCUCGAAAGCUAUUUAGGUAGCGCCUCAUAUGUAUCCUCUCGGGGGUAGAGCACUGUUAUGGCUAGGGGGUCAUCGCGACUUACCAAACCAUUGCAAACUCCGAAUACCGAGACGGACUGUAUGGGAGACACACGGCGGGUGCUAACGUCCGUCGUGAAAAGGGAAACAACCCAGACCCACAGCUAAGGUCCCAAAUUCACUGCUAAGUGGAAAACGAUGUGGAAAGGCAUAGACAGCCAGGAGGUUGGCUUAGAAGCAGCCACCCUUUAAAGAAAGCGUAAUAGCUCACUGGUCGAGUCGGUCUGCGCGGAAGAUUUAACGGGGCUAAGCAGUGAACCGAAGCUUGGGGUGCAUAAAACUUGUUUUAUGCGCGGUAGAGGAGCGUUCCGUAAGCCUGCGAAGGUGGAUUGAGAAGUCUGCUGGAGGUAUCGGAAGUGCGAAUGCUGACAUGAGUAACGAUAAUGCGGGUGAAAAGCCCGCACGCCGAAAGCCCAAGGUUUCCUUGCGCAACGUUAAUCGACGCAGGGUUAGUCGGUCCCUAAGGCGAGGGCGAAAGCCGUAGUCGAUGGGAAGCAGGUUAAUAUUCCUGCACCUCGCGUGAGUGCGAUGGAGGGACGGAGAAGGUUAGGUGUACCGGGCGUUGGUUGUCCCGGGGAAAGGCGGUAGGUUUGGAUCUUUGGCAAAUCCGGGAUCCUUUAAGACCGAGCACCGAGACGAGCCUUUAUGGCGAAGUCACUGAUACCACGCUUCCAGGAAAAGCUCCUAAGCUUCAGCUCACGAAGACCGUACCGUAAACCGACACAGGUGGGUAGGAUGAGAAUUCUCAGGCGCUUGAGAGAACUCGGGUGAAGGAACUAGGCAACAUGGCACCGUAACUUCGGGAGAAGGUGCACCCUUUUUGGUGGCUCGUGCGAGCUAUAGCUGAAGAGGGUCGCAGAAACCAGGCCGCUGCGACUGUUUAUCAAAAACACAGCACUCUGCAAACACGAAAGUGGACGUAUAGGGUGUGACGCCUGCCCGGUGCUGGAAGGUUAAUUGAUGGGGUCAGCCGCAAGGCGAAGCUCUUGAUCGAAGCCCCAGUAAACGGCGGCCGUAACUAUAACGGUCCUAAGGUAGCGAAAUUCCUUGUCGGGUAAGUUCCGACCUGCACGAAUGGCGUAACGACAGCGGCGCUGUCUCCACCCGAGACUCAGUGAAAUUGAAAUCGCUGUGAAGAUGCAGCGUCCCCGUGGCAAGACGGAAAGACCCCGUGAACCUUUACUAUAGCUUUACACUGAACGUUGAGUUCGUCUGUGUAGGAUAGGUGGGAGGCUAUGAAACUGUGGCGCUAGCUGCAGUGGAGCCAUCCUUGAAAUACCACCCUGUCGUGCUUGACGUUCUAACCUAGGUCCGUUAUCCGGAUCAGGGACCGUGUAUGGUGGGUAGUUUGACUGGGGCGGUCUCCUCCUAAAGAGUAACGGAGGAGCACGAAGGUACGCUCAGCGCGGUCGGACAUCGCGCACUGUGUGCAAAGGCAUAAGCGUGCUUGACUGCAAGAUCGACGGAUCAAGCAGGUACGAAAGUAGGUCUUAGUGAUCCGGUGGUUCUGUAUGGAAGGGCCAUCGCUCAACGGAUAAAAGGUACUCCGGGGAUAACAGGCUGAUACCGCCCAAGAGUUCAUAUCGACGGCGGUGUUUGGCACCUCGAUGUCGGCUCAUCACAUCCUGGGGCUGUAGUCGGUCCCAAGGGUAUGGCUGUUCGCCAUUUAAAGUGGUACGCGAGCUGGGUUCAGAACGUCGUGAGACAGUUCGGUCCCUAUCUGCCAUGGGCGUUGGAAGUUUGAGAGGGGCUGCUCCUAGUACGAGAGGACCGGAGUGGACGAACCUCUGGUGUUCCGGUUGUCACGCCAGUGGCAUUGCCGGGUAGCUAUGUUCGGAAGCGAUAACCGCUGAAAGCAUCUAAGCGGGAAGCGCGCCUCAAGAUGAGACUUCCCGGGGCACAAGCCCCCUAAAGGAACCAUGUAGACUACGUGGUUGA
This 2699-nucleotide ribosomal RNA is filed under the name unidentified. RNAcentral's name for it is "bacterial LSU rRNA". It matches the Rfam family "Bacterial large subunit ribosomal RNA". The record is from RNAcentral.